RNAcentral lists this ribosomal RNA (854 nucleotides) under Acinetobacter baumannii. Its description in RNAcentral is "partial 23S ribosomal RNA". It matches the Rfam family "Bacterial large subunit ribosomal RNA", at positions 1 to 906 of the family's 2925-position model. Lineage: Bacteria; Pseudomonadati; Pseudomonadota; Gammaproteobacteria; Moraxellales; Moraxellaceae. The record is from RNAcentral.
AGUCAAGUAAUUAAGUGCAUGUGGUGGAUGCCUUGGCAGUCAGAGGCGAUGAAAGACGUGAUAGCCUGCGAAAAGCUCCGGGGAGGCGGCAAAUAUCCUUUGAUCCGGAGAUGUCUGAAUGGGGGAACCCACCUACUUUAAGGUAGGUAUUGCAACAUGAAUACAUAGUGUUGCAAGGCGAACGAGGGGAAGUGAAACAUCUCAGUACCCUUAGGAAAAGAAAUCAAUUGAGAUUCCCUCAGUAGCGGCGAGCGAACGGGGAUCAGCCCAUUAAGUUAUGUGUGUUUUAGUGGAACGCUCUGGGAAGUGCGAACGUAGAGGGUGAUAUUCCCGUACACGAAAGGGCACACAUAAUGAUGACGAGUAGGGCGAGGCACGUGAAACCUUGUCUGAAUAUGGGGGGACCAUCCUCCAAGGCUAAAUACUCCUGACUGACCGAUAGUGAACCAGUACCGUGAGGGAAAGGCGAAAAGAACCCCUGUGAGGGGAGUGAAAUAGAUCCUGAAACCGCAUGCAUACAAGCAGUGGGAGCACCUUCGUGGUGUGACUGCGUACCUUUUGUAUAAUGGGUCAGCGACUUAUAUUCAGUAGCGAGGUUAACCGUAUAGGGGAGCCGUAGAGAAAUCGAGUCUUAAUAGGGCGUUUAGUUGCUGGGUAUAGACCCGAAACCAGGCGAUCUAUCCAUGAGCAGGUUGAAGGUUGGGUAACACUAACUGGAGGACCGAACCCACUGUCGUUGAAAAGCCAGGGGAUGACUUGUGGAUAGGGGUGAAAGGCUAAUCAAGCCUGGUGAUAGCUGGUUCUCCCCGAAAGCUAUUUAGGUAGCGCCUCGGACGAAUACCAUAGGGGGUAGA